GUGCUUGCUUCUUCACCUCAUAUAUUAAAAUUGGAACAAUAUAGAGAUUAGUAGUGACCCUAUACAAGGAUGACACUCAAAUUUGUAAAGCAUUCCAUAUUUUC
Mus pahari (shrew mouse) is the source of this 104-nucleotide small nuclear RNA. Lineage: Eukaryota; Metazoa; Chordata; Mammalia; Rodentia; Muridae. The record is from RefSeq and is a predicted model, not a curated record.